This 4270-nucleotide long non-coding RNA is filed under the name Nicotiana tabacum (common tobacco). RNAcentral's name for it is "long non-coding RNA (NTAB_LNC016635)". The record is from RNAcentral. Lineage: Eukaryota; Viridiplantae; Streptophyta; Magnoliopsida; Solanales; Solanaceae.
UAUGAUCUAAAAUAAACAUACUAACACGACUAUGUUAGUAUCGCCUAUACACAUCUUUUUCUUACACGGUGCUAUCUUUUGCUAAGUCGGCAUGGAUUCCUAGCUCUAUAUAUUCCAAUUUGGUGAAAGAUAUGAUUCAUAUAAGUUGGAAAAGUACCACCAUAGUGGAAGGUUACCAGUCAAGAAAUGAUGCUGAAUGGAACGUUUCUGUGUGCAUGGCAUUAAUUGGAGCACGUGUAUUUUGCUUCACGUGGAAGUCCACAUCACUGGCCUCAGAAGAUCCAAGUGUCCCAGCUACUUGAGUGCUUGCAGAAAAGGAAAUGUCUUGAUCUAAUGGGAAAUACCCAAGAGUGGAAAUUAGCACUUAUGGCAUAGGAUGAAGGGUCCCAUUAGACAUGUCACUACAAAAAUAGCCAUCAUUUGUAUAGUGAUCCUGAAGCUAUAAUGGUCCGGUCGGCUACACUCCUGGGAUCUUUGUAGACUUAAUGGAAACACUUACUAUGAGGAAGUAACAAAUGGAGGUCUCAUAGACAUUUAGAGCAAAGAACUACGUUGCUUUCUAGCCCACUCACUCUUAGUCUGGAAUGUUCCAACAGGAAUGCACCUCAACGAUAGAUCUGGAUGGUUCUGACCUGUAUAUACAUACCAAAAUCAACUAAUAAAAACAAAAGGUAACACCAAUUAGAACCACAACAGCCCUAAAUGAUCAGUUAAAGAAAUAGAAUGCAAAGGCAUCACAAACAUUACGUGAAUAAAAAAUGUCCAACAUAUGCAAUAUAUCACAUGUGAUAGCAACAUGAAAGCUACAAAGAAUUUUGAGUAAAUCAGGAUGUGCGAUUUUCUCAUUUCAGUGGAUUUUUUUAUGAAUCUAGCGACAGCAGAUUGCAUAUCUGAAGUAAAUGAAGUUCUUCACAUGGGAAUAAACUUCACCUUGGAAAGACUGAACUUCGAAGGCACAGCUUCAAUCAGCUUGAUUUAUCAACCUUAGUAACCUCAAGGGUAGGGGAAAAUGGCUCAUCAAGUUACCCUCAAGAAAAAUAUGUACUAUAAUAUUAGUCGUAGCAGAGAUAAAACUCAGAAAGUGGACCAAGAUUGUGCCCUUCCCAGUGGACGAGGUCGGCUUGCAGGUGGGUGGGUGGGGGCUUGUGUGGAGGUAUCAAAAUUGCAACCAUCAGGUUGGACGUUAUUUCUUAAUCUCUCUGCUUUCUGAAACCAGGGUGAAGGCACAUAUGUCGACAGAGCGACCUUUGCAACUUCAACUGGUGCUCUGCCGCUCUUUACUAAAUUAGAAAGAUGGUCUUAAUUAUGUGAGGGCAAAACGACUAAUAAGAGAUCACUAGCUUUCUGAUCGAAGAAACAUAAGGGGCAAGGUUGAUGAGUCAUUGGGUUGGUGCGGCAACAUAUAAGAAAUGAGAACCCACCUAAUUCCCAUAAAAAUCGCCAACAUAAACAAAAAUAAAAGCUUAAUCCCGUAAACAAAGUGAAUCACUUAUACUUUUGGAUAUCAGAUAUAUGACAAAUGGUUUUUUGGUCCCUCACAUCUAGUGAUUAGGACAUUGUUUUCCCAAGUCGAAUAUAUUUUACAUUUUUGCGAAGGUGAGAUAAGAAUUAAUGGCAACAGUUUCCAUCAAAAUUAUUUAAAGGAGGAGACUACGUUUUCCUGGAUUGGAAGGUUUGAGUUUUACAGAUUCAUCUAACAGAUCAUGCAGUUGAGUUCAUACAUCUUCUUAAAUACCAUUUACUUACUAUAGAUCAGGCUUCUAUCAAGAAACAUUAGGAUUAAAAGUUUUAUUUGGAGGGGCAUCUUAGUAUGUGAUUCAAAAAAACACUAUUUAGUUUACAGCUCUGUGAUACAACUGUUAUCAGCCUACCCAAAACAACAGUUUUAAAAUUUCAAUGGACUAAAUGCAUCCUUGUAUCUCCAAUAUUUUGUUUUGCAUUACCAUCAGAAUAUUUUUUGCAAAACCAAUAGUUAUCCACAAGAGACUUCAUGAAAAACUCACUCGUAACUCCAUCAAUCGGUGACAAACUGCUACUGCUGACAAACUGCUACUGCAAUUACACAGUUUGCAGCAUAAAGUUUAGGAACUUCCUAGCAACAAGUAAAGCACAUAUGUCUUGCAAGAAAAGGAUCAAACAGGACAAGUCAUAGUUUUUCAUAUCGACUAGGCAGUCAUUUCAUGAGGAUGAUGCUCACUAUCUCUAACAAACGACUAGGACAAGAAAAUCACCUACAAACUGCUCAAAAAUUCAAAAACAGAAAGCAAACCACAAUUUGUAUAAUCUCAUCAUGGGUACAUGCUUGCUACAGCGAUUGCAAGCUCUAUGCUUCAAAGAUUCCACUAGAAGAUUGACGCUUCAAGCACCAAAGGUAAAAAUCGAGAAACUAAGGAACUGACCAAGCAUGAGCUUUCACUAGCUUGACUCACCAAAAACGUUAAACAUUUGCAACCAUUGAUCAUUGGUUCUGAAUGUUCAUUCAGGGAAGUAACCAAUACAGGAUCCUCGUAACAAUUUGUUGUACAUGUUAGGAUUAAUGGCCUAGUGCUUUGGAUGCUGCAUAUGUUGACCAUGUACAGAGAUUGAAUUUUGCAGUGUAGUAAAUAUGGCCGGCUUAUUGAGCAAUCUGAGUUAAGCACACAGAAUGUGAAAGACACUUGUUCAAGUUGUUCUCCCAAAAGCUAUAGACACUUGAUUAUUGAGAUCCUAUGCGAAGGAAAUAUAACCAGUCCAUUGCACUACUACUGAUUCCGAGAAGUAGAAAGUGAAUAAAAUUCAAGUUAAGGUUCUCCCACAGUACUACGGAAUUCAUAUGGAACCAGAAAGUCAAGGGCAUCAAACAAAAGGCUCCUCCUAAAAGAUACAGAUAAAUAGAAGGCAGAAAGUUGCUGAAUUUACUAGUAUAAAUCUCCCAUUAGUAUCUGUGCGACUACUGAAAAAUUAGCUAGCCGUUCUAAUCCAACUUAACAUAUCUAUUUUAGCAUCAAACACAUUCAAUGCAGAAGCACACAAAAGGUAGGUUCCAAGCUAAAGGCUCAAUUAUCAUCUUAGAUGUCCUAAAUUAACCCCUCCUCCAAUCCCUAUCUCAAAAAAAGAGAUUGUCACUUCCCAAGGAGCUAAGAAACACUUGGAUGAUAUCCACAUCAAACACGUAUUAUUCACUUGAACAGGCUUAAUAAAAUAAGCACAACUCUGUUAAUUCAUCAUACCUCACUUAUCAUUUCCUGGAGCUCUAAGUUAACAAGACUCUGUGGCUUGCAAGAACGCACGGGUUCAACAAUUGGUUCAGGGGUACAGGUUGUAGUAUAUAAUACGUGAAAACAGGGGUAUGGCCAGACAUCAGAGGGACCUUCGUCAAUUGAGACGACUCUAGGAGAUUCCCCUCAACAAUAUUUUGGACCUCCAUGGCAAAGGCAUCACUUAAUAAAGGAUGGUACAUGAUAAACAAAAUAAGGUAACAAUUUACACAAUCUCACAAAUCACUCAUCAUUCCCAUAAAAGUUCUUCUAAGGGAUAUAUCAUCAUACUUCAUAUUCUUAUCAAGUAGCAUAUAGCACCUGUACUUACCCAAGCAGGAUAUGACUUUAACAAUGAAGGUUAUUACUUCAUCAUUUCCUUUAUUUUUCUUCUAUACUUCCUUUCCAUUUAUAUUAUAAUUUUCAUAAGUUCCUUGACUGGUUACUCCUCAUUUGUCUAACCUACUUCGGAUACUCCAAAAAUGUAUAAUUUUUGGAGGAUCAGACCCACAACCAGACGACAUUUUUGAAGAAUUCGAGCAAUAUAAUCAUAGUUUCACGGGUUACUAACACAACUACAUAAAUUACUAAACAAUUAAGCCUCGUCAUCAAUCAAUCUGUCCAUGAACCAAAAGCCCAACAUAAAUAUCACCAUGCAUGUGGGAAGAAAAUACAUAGACGUCCUUAUUGCUCGAUUUCAAGCUAAAAUUCAAUGAAACGUGAAACAAACUAAAACAUAUAUUUCAAAUUUUCAUGAAACGUUAUGUAUUGUUGAGAUUAUACAGAAAAUUCGACAUUGAUGAAGAUCGAAAUGUGUGAAAGAAUACAAGUCAGGGAAAACCUGUCAACGAUGAAGCAAAUCCUAUCGAUCGAUCAUCCAGACUCCAAAUUUAAGCAGGUUAUCAACAUUCAUCCAAGCAUAUAUAAUAUAUCCUUCACUGGAAGUGCAAGAUCAAAGAAAAGGCUUCAGUGCAAGAUCAAAGAAAAGGCGAGUAUAGGUCGAUCUCAUUGUUGACCUAAUUCCUAGAGAAGCG